RNAcentral lists this transfer RNA (82 nucleotides) under Echinostoma caproni. It matches the Rfam family "tRNA". Rfam says of the family: Transfer RNA (tRNA) molecules are approximately 80 nucleotides in length. Their secondary structure includes four short double-helical elements and three loops (D, anti-codon, and T loops). Further hydrogen bonds mediate the characteristic L-shaped molecular structure. tRNAs have two regions of fundamental functional importance: the anti-codon, which is responsible for specific mRNA codon recognition, and the 3' end, to which the tRNAs corresponding amino acid is attached (by aminoacyl-tRNA synthetases). tRNAs cope with the degeneracy of the genetic code in two manners: having more than one tRNA (with a specific anti-codon) for a particular amino acid; and 'wobble' base-pairing, i.e. permitting non-standard base-pairing at the 3rd anti-codon position. The record is from Rfam by way of RNAcentral. Lineage: Eukaryota; Metazoa; Platyhelminthes; Trematoda; Plagiorchiida; Echinostomatidae.
GGCCUCGUAGCUCAGCUGGUAGAGCAUGCGCGUAAGGAGUGUGGGCGGUGUCCAUGCGUGGGUUCGAAUCCCACCGAGGCUG